UCUCCGUAGGUGAACCUGCGGAGGGAUCAUUACUGAGUGAGGGCUCACGCCCGACCUCCAACCCUUUGUGAACACAUCUUGUUGCUUCGGGGGCGACCCUGCCGCUUCGGUGGUGCGGCGCCCCCGGGGUCAAUCAAACACUGCAUUCUCUGCGUCGGAGUAUUAGUAAAUCUAAUCAAAACUUUCAACAACGGAUCUCUUGGUUCUGGCAUCGAUGAAGAACGCAGC
RNAcentral lists this unclassified non-coding RNA (228 nucleotides) under uncultured fungus. RNAcentral's name for it is "sequence contains ITS1, 5.8S rRNA gene". The stretch from base 180 to 228 matches the Rfam family "5.8S ribosomal RNA", at positions 1 to 49 of the family's 154-position model. Lineage: Eukaryota; Fungi. The record is from RNAcentral.